GCCCGGGUGGUGGAAUUGGUAGACACGCAGGUCUCAGAAGCCUGUGCCUUAACAGCAUGGGGGUUCGAGUCCCCCCUCGGGCACCA
Molecule: transfer RNA, 86 nt
Filed under: Opitutaceae bacterium
Lineage: Bacteria; Pseudomonadati; Verrucomicrobiota; Opitutia; Opitutales; Opitutaceae
Also listed under: 1 other name
Description: tRNA-Leu
Rfam family: tRNA
About the family: Transfer RNA (tRNA) molecules are approximately 80 nucleotides in length. Their secondary structure includes four short double-helical elements and three loops (D, anti-codon, and T loops). Further hydrogen bonds mediate the characteristic L-shaped molecular structure. tRNAs have two regions of fundamental functional importance: the anti-codon, which is responsible for specific mRNA codon recognition, and the 3' end, to which the tRNAs corresponding amino acid is attached (by aminoacyl-tRNA synthetases). tRNAs cope with the degeneracy of the genetic code in two manners: having more than one tRNA (with a specific anti-codon) for a particular amino acid; and 'wobble' base-pairing, i.e. permitting non-standard base-pairing at the 3rd anti-codon position.
Source: RNAcentral